UGUCUUGUAAUUGGAAUGAUGGGAAUUUAAACCUCUUCCAGAGUAUCAAUUGGAGGGCAAGUCUGGUGCCAGCAGCCGCGGUAAUUCCAGCUCCAAUAGCGUAUAUUAAAAUUGUUGCAGUUAAAAAGCUCGUAGUUGAAUUUCUGCUGUAUUGCAUUUUCUCUUUUUAUAUGAGUUUUUGCAUUAUGGCUUAUUUCAGUAUUAAUUUUUUAUUAUUACUGAAUGUUUACUUUGAGAAAAUUAGAGUGCUCAAAGCAGGCUUUUGCCUUGAAUAGUUUAGCAUGGAAUAAUAAAGUAGGACUUUGGUUCUAUUUUGUUGGUUUUAGGUACCAAAGUAAUGGUUAAUAGGAACAGUUGGGGGCAUUCGUAUUUAACUGUCAGAGGUGAAAUUCUUAGAUUUGUUAAAGACGAACUACUGCGAAAGCAUUUGCCAAGGAUGUUUUCAUUAAUCAAGAACGAAAGUUAGGGGAUCGAAGACGAUCAGAUACCGUCGUAGUCCUAACCAUAAACUA
Molecule: ribosomal RNA, 512 nt
Filed under: Theileria sp. OT3
Lineage: Eukaryota; Apicomplexa; Aconoidasida; Piroplasmida; Theileriidae
Description: SSU rRNA
Rfam family: Eukaryotic small subunit ribosomal RNA
Source: RNAcentral